CGCCGACCGGCCCCGGUGCGCCCAGCGGAGCGGAGCGGAGCGCGCGGAGGGAGGAGUUUUCCCAGAAUGGGACUGACGGGAAAACACGGGGAUCCCUAUUCCUGGAGGAAUCCAGCCUGGUGCCUGGGAUAGGGAAGUGCAUGAUAAAUGCUGCAUAAAUGAAAAACAAUUGCUACCGUGGAAGAUAUUGAAAGGAAAGUGCUAUCGAUGCCAAAGUUGUUUCCAAGAGAGGUAUUCCAAAAGUGUUUCAAGCAAUGACUGAGCUAAGCAUCCAGUCCUGCAAGGUGAAGGCGUUGAAGACGCAGCCCUCAUUUGAAUAGAUGAAUUGUGGUAUUCUUGUUAAAUAAUGAAUCAUAUCAAGGCUUGGUCACACCUCAUGCACAUGAAAAGACCAAAACGCAAGGCAGCAUAUCAGCGCCACGUGAAGUACACACUAAGCACCAACUAUUUAAUUCAGCAAUCAUGGGGGGCCCGGUGGCUCACGCCUGUCAUCUUAGCAAUUUGGGAGGCCGAGGCAGGUGGAUCGCUUGAGCCCAGGAGUUCGAGAUCAGCCUGGGCAUCAUGGUGGCCUGCACCUGUAGUCCCAGCUACUCAGGAGGCUGAGGUGGGAGGAUAGUUUGACCCCAGAAAGUUGAGGCUGCAGUGAGCCGUGAAUGCACCACUACACACCAGCCUGGAUGACAGAGCGAAACCCUGUCUCAAAGUAAUUAAUAAUAAUUAUAUUAAUUCAGCAAUCAUUGGAGUGUUUGUUGACUUUGACACCGCACUAAGGGAAGGAGUAGGUCCCUUUCCUCAAGUAGUUCCAGUCUAGGUGAGAAGACAGACAAUUAUGCAAAGUUCAAUGGGAACCCAAGGGAAGGAACAGUGAAAUCCAAUUACAGUGCAUUUGAUCUAGCUCUUGAGGAUAAAUGAGGGUUUGCCAAACUGAGACUGGAAACCCCAUUUAAGACACAUGGAAUAGCACCUACAAAGGUGAGGCAGCCAGUCUGCUGGUGUGUUUAGCGAAGCUAUGUAAACUGGUGUGGCUGGAGAAUAGAGAUGUGGAUAAUAAGAUUGAAGGAAGUGGAUACCAGACUUUGAAGGUCAUUGCGUGCCAUGCUGAAGAGUUAGGCAUCAAAAAAGACACAAGUGUGACUUAAUCAGCAGCACCAUCAAGAAGACCGUCUUGCAACAGUCUUGCAGUUGAACUGGAGACUCGGGGUGCCCUAAAACUCAAGCAGUGGUCCUGAGGUUGAGGAGGAGGGGAAGGAGCUAGGAAACGGUUCAGAUCAUUUGGCUGUGUAGUGAGAGAGAAAACAAAAAUCGCUAACCUUUAACAGCUGAACAAUGGUUGGUGUCAGUAAGUGAGAUAAGAAUUCAGGGCUGGGCACAGUGGCUCAUACCUGUAAUCCCAGCACUUUGGGAGGCUGAGGUGGGUGGAUCACGAGGUCAGGAGUUCCAGACCAGCCUGACCAACAUGGAGAAACCCCAUCUCUACUAAAAAUACAAUAUUAGCUGGGCGUGGUGGUGCAUGCCUGUAAUCCCAGCUACUCGGGAGGCUGAGGCAGGAGAAUCACUUGAACCCAGGAGGUGGAGGUUGCAGUGAGCUGAGAUCACGACAUUGCACUGCAGCCUGGGCAAAAAGAAUGAAACUCCGUCUCAAAAAAAA
RNAcentral lists this long non-coding RNA (1648 nucleotides) under Homo sapiens (human). Its description in RNAcentral is "non-protein coding lnc-FOXM1-2:3". The record is from RNAcentral. Lineage: Eukaryota; Metazoa; Chordata; Mammalia; Primates; Hominidae.